UUCGAGUGGCGGACGGGUGAGUAACGCGUGGGUAACCUGCCUUACACAGGGGGAUAACACCUGGAAACAGGUGCUAAUACCGCAUAAGCGCACAGGGCCGCAUGGCCCGGUGUGAAAAACUCCGGUGGUGUAAGAUGGACCCGCGUCUGAUUAGCUUGUUGGCGGGGUAGGGGCCCACCAAGGCGACGAUCAGUAGCCGGCCUGAGAGGGUGGACGGCCACAUUGGGACUGUGACACGGCCCAAACUCCUACGGGAGGCAGCAG
This 264-nucleotide ribosomal RNA is filed under the name uncultured bacterium. RNAcentral describes it as "partial 16S ribosomal RNA". It matches the Rfam family "Bacterial small subunit ribosomal RNA", at positions 90 to 354 of the family's 1533-position model. The record is from RNAcentral.